RNAcentral lists this unclassified non-coding RNA (151 nucleotides) under soil metagenome. RNAcentral's name for it is "partial internal transcribed spacer 1". The record is from RNAcentral.
GCGAGUAUGGCCCUCACGGGUCUAAUCCACCACGAAACACCUUUGUGAACCAGUCAGGGGGACUCGGCGUGAAAGCCCAGGCGAUUAGCGGAAGGGCCCUCCUUCGCAAACCCGUUUAGAAGUCUUGAAAGUACUUUUGUAUAAUCUAGUA